RNAcentral lists this ribosomal RNA (662 nucleotides) under Trametes versicolor. RNAcentral's name for it is "eukaryotic LSU rRNA". The stretch from base 255 to 408 matches the Rfam family "5.8S ribosomal RNA". Lineage: Eukaryota; Fungi; Basidiomycota; Agaricomycetes; Polyporales; Polyporaceae. The record is from RNAcentral.
UCUUGGUCAUUUAGAGGAAGUAAAAGUCGUAACAAGGUUUCCGUAGGUGAACCUGCGGAAGGAUCAUUAACGAGUUUUGAAACGAGUUGUAGCUGGCCUUCCGAGGCAUGUGCACGCUCUGCUCAUCCACUCUACCCCUGUGCACUUACUGUAGGUUGGCGUGGGCUCCUUAACGGGAGCAUUCUGCCGGCCUAUGUAUACUACAAACACUUUAAAGUAUCAGAAUGUAAACGCGUCUAACGCAUCUAUAAUACAACUUUUAGCAACGGAUCUCUUGGCUCUCGCAUCGAUGAAGAACGCAGCGAAAUGCGAUAAGUAAUGUGAAUUGCAGAAUUCAGUGAAUCAUCGAAUCUUUGAACGCACCUUGCGCUCCUUGGUAUUCCGAGGAGCAUGCCUGUUUGAGUGUCAUGGAAUUCUCAACUUAUAAAUCCUUGUGAUCUAUAAGCUUGGACUUGGAGGCUUGCUGGCCCUUGCGGUCGGCUCCUCUUGAAUGCAUUAGCUCGAUUCCGUACGGAUCGGCUCUCAGUGUGAUAAUUGUCUACGCUGUGACCGUGAAGUGUUUUGGCGAGCUUCUAACCGUCCAUUAGGACAACUUUUUAACAUCUGACCUCAAAUCAGGUAGGACUACCCGCUGAACUUAAGCAUAUCAAUAAGCGGAGGAA